AGAAAGCAUGAGAAAGAUGCGCUGGUGUUUCUUGCUCUUUGCUUACCGUGUCUAUCUUUAUUGUUGUUGAAUUUUACUUGUUCCUUGAAUUGAAUAUUAACCCAUCUCCACUGUGAUAAUAUUGGGCAAUUGGAAGGGCAAUUUGGUAAUUUGAAAAAGGGUUUAUUGGGGAUGGUGCAAAGGGUUUUAAACUGGAGUGGUCAAAGUGAUGGGGUCGAAUCCUACCUUGCACCUACAGUAAGUAGAGUAUUUUUUGUUUUUUUUUUGACCUAUUUCUAGUGGCUGCCUGCUUUUGGGACCUUCUAUUGUCUGCUUGCUCAGGCCCAAAGCACAGGUUUAUAUCAGUAUCACUGCGAUAUUUGGGGCCAAUUUGCCUUGGAUCUCUCGUUGCCUUGAGAAUGACUUUCUUCUUAUUUGUGUCAAGGAAUUUACCAUUUUAUUUCUG
Molecule: unclassified non-coding RNA, 445 nt
Filed under: Hevea brasiliensis (rubber tree)
Lineage: Eukaryota; Viridiplantae; Streptophyta; Magnoliopsida; Malpighiales; Euphorbiaceae
Source: RNAcentral